RNAcentral lists this long non-coding RNA (1137 nucleotides) under Physcomitrium patens. RNAcentral's name for it is "long non-coding RNA (PPAT_LNC007940)". Lineage: Eukaryota; Viridiplantae; Streptophyta; Bryopsida; Funariales; Funariaceae. The record is from RNAcentral.
GUGGAUGUCAUGAUGUAAAAUAACUAAUAGGUGAAAGAGUGAAUAAAAUAUCAUAGUUUUGAAGAUCUUAUUUUAAAUAUAUUAUAACAAAUUAUCUUAAAAAAAUAAAUAAUAGUCAAGGGAUAGAAAAAUUAAAGGUGCAAAUACUUCUUUUUUUACAAAAUAAGCUUCUACUCACUUUGUAAGACCACAAAUAAAGCAAAAUAAGGUAGAUUAGAAAAAUAAACAAUGUAAGCACCUUUAGAAAGAAGUUAAGAAUGACUUGUAGCAAAAGUUACCUUAAAAAUCCAAGAGAUGAUACUUAGAGAGGACCAGUUAUGAACUUGGAUUGAAAUCAGAUCCUAUAGCACAAAAUAGAGCUCCUAGAGUAGUUCAAAGGUUCUUUGAUUGAUUGGAGAAUGGUAUAAAAGAGCAGACUUGAUAAGAUUUCUAUAAGCACUAAUUUUGAGGAUUUUAGGUAGAUAAUGACUUUAUAAGAGCUUUACAAAGUUGAUAUUAUUUUCAAUGACUUUGGUUUUUAGAAAAUAAAAUAGGAUUGACGUUUUGGACAAUUUCAGGAGUUUGAUAAUAGAUCUAUAAGUGAAGUUUUUGGGUUUGUGGAUGUAGUUGUGCUUAAUGUAUGAUAUAAAUUUGGAUUUGAUCGAAUGACUAGAUUGAAAAGUAUGAAGGUUUCAAUGGGUUAUGGUCUCAAAAUUCAAGGUUUUGAAGACUAAUGAAGUUUUUUUAGAUAUCUAUCAAUCUGCCAAUUAGAUUAAAAUAUAUAUAUAUAUAUAUAUAUAUAUUUAUAGAGUUAAUCAAAUUGAUUUCUAAUAAGUGUGUAAAGUUUGGAAGCAAAGUAAUAGUUCAAUCAUGAAUAAUUGAUUCUAUGAGAUUGGCAUCAAGGUCAAAAAAGGAGACUGGCCUAUACCCAAGCAUAUUUUUGAUGUUAUUGUCUUUGGUAAUUCUGAUGUUGUACUGUAAUUGUUUAUAAUAUGUAAAAAUUAAUUAGAACAUAUAAUAUGUUCAUAAGUCUUGGUGUAUGUUAGAAUGGUUAAUAAAUUAAUUUAAAGAGAGUGGAUUUAAGAAAUUUUAUUUUGAGUUUUAUCUUUUUUGCUUAUAACAUUCAAAAAAAUUAUAGGACCUAAAUAUUUAGUAUGA